RNAcentral lists this ribosomal RNA (468 nucleotides) under uncultured bacterium. RNAcentral describes it as "partial 16S ribosomal RNA". It matches the Rfam family "Bacterial small subunit ribosomal RNA", at positions 28 to 507 of the family's 1533-position model. The record is from RNAcentral.
GACGAACGCUGGCGGCGUGCUUAACACAUGCAAGUCGAACGGAAAGGCCCUGCUUUUGUGGGGUGCUCGAGUGGCGAACGGGUGAGUAACACGUGAGUAACCUGCCCUUGACUUUGGGAUAACUUCAGGAAACUGGGGCUAAUACCGGAUAGGAGCUCCUGCUGCAUGGUGGGGGUUGGAAAGUUUCGGCGGUUGGGGAUGGACUCGCGGCUUAUCAGCUUGUUGGUGGGGUAGUGGCUUACCAAGGCUUUGACGGGUAGCCGGCCUGAGAGGGUGACCGGCCAGGUCGGGACUGAGAGAAGGCACAGGGAGAGCGGCGAGGGAGCACUGGGCGAGGGUGUACAAAGCGCUGAAGGGUGAUGUAGAAAUGGCGCGGGAGCGAGGACGGCCUGCAGGUAGGAAACCAAGGUCGCAUGGGACGAAGGGUAAAUGACGGUAGCCGGUAAAGAGAAAACGGCUAAUUUAGUG